UACGAACCGUGCGAACGUUGUUCGGAAUCACUGGGCUUAAAGGGCGCGUAGGCGGGUGUGCAAGUCUGUGGUGAAAGCCUCCAGCUUAACUGGAGAAGUGCCAUGGAUACUGCACAUCUUGAGGAGGGUAGGGGCAUCUGGAACGGUCGGUGGAGCGGUGAAAUGCGUUGAUAUCGACCGGAACUCCGGUGGCGAAGGCGAGGUGCUGGACCCUUUCUGACGCUGAGGCGCGAAAGCCAGGGGAGCAAACGGG
Molecule: ribosomal RNA, 253 nt
Filed under: uncultured bacterium
Lineage: Bacteria
Description: partial 16S ribosomal RNA
Rfam family: Bacterial small subunit ribosomal RNA
Source: RNAcentral